Molecule: non-coding RNA, 1789 nt
Organism: Xyrichtys novacula (pearly razorfish)
Lineage: Eukaryota; Metazoa; Chordata; Actinopteri; Labriformes; Labridae
Source: the annotation of a GenBank genome assembly
GAAGACGAAGUCCAGAUCCUGCAGCGUUGAAGCUCUGCGGUCUCCUCUCAGCGCCGAUUCAUUUAUUGGGACAUUCAGACUCUUAUCAGCGGCGCUAUCUCUCCCCUCAGAGUCCCGCUUUGGAAACUGGGUCAGAGGAGGGUCACAGAUUACAGCGGAGAGGUGACCCGCGUGGGGCUCAGAUAUACAAACAGCAUUUUUACCCUCUUUUGUGUUUCUGAAGGUUUCUCUCUUUGUUUCUGCAGCUGAACCUCAAAGCCGCAGAUUUCUGUGUGUUCAGACCUGAACCUGUUUCCUCCACGAGGGGCCGAAUAAUGAGGCUCUAUCAGUGUGGUCACCUGAUUACUGUGGGGGGGCCGUUCAGAGUGGGACAGGUGAGUCAUACCUGUGUGUGUGUGUGUGUGUGUGUGUGUGUGUGUGUGUGUGUAUCAGGCGGGAGUUCUGCUAUCUUAUCAAACCGACUUCACCAAGGAGACUAUUGUGUAUGCAAGGUGACAAACUGCCUUAUAUUCCCCUUCAGUGCAUGUGUGUGUUUUUAUGAAUGCGUGUGUGUGUGUGUGUGUGUGUGUGUGUGUGUGCUCUCUCAGGCGUCUGCAUGUUGAUCUUGUUUCAUAAAAAAGUGAAAUUGUCUGAGAAAAACUCAAAUUUCUGCAGAAACAGGAAACAAUUUGUGUCUCUUUUCAAACAUUGUGACUCCUCGACUAUUUGUGCAUGUGUGUGAGUGCAUGCAUGUGUGUGUGUGUAUCGAGUGUGUGUGCAUGGAGUCUGUAUCUCUGAGGCCUCGGGGCUCAUGGUUGCUGAUCCUGCGUGACAGAAAAGAAAAGGCAGCGACUGAUACGUGACUCUGAGAGAACAGGGCUGGGUUAGGUAACUGACAGACAGACGGAGAGACAGACAGACAGGGAGACAGAGAAACAGACAGAGAAACAGACAGACAGACAGACAGACAGACAGACAGACAGACAGACAGACAGAGAAACAGACAGACAGACAGACAGACAGACCUGGCGUCAGCUGCAGGAUCGAGGAUCAAUAAAUGUUUUUUUUCCCUCUAAACUCUCAGAGAAGAUCCUGCAGAUUAAAGUUUGUAGGUCAGUCGGUGACCCUGAAAACCUUUUUAUAAACCUUAAAAAAAGUCAGAAUUUAAGCUCCGCCCCUCAUCAUCAAACAGAGCGACCCCGUAGAUUUACAGGAUUGAACUGUUUUUCUGGUCAGGGUCAGGGGCAGGGCGGUGGGUUUUGGAGCGGUCCGGCUCUCUCUGUGUGUUUCCUUUGAGGUUCUCAGUGUGAUCCGGCCGUGUUUAGUCUAACAGUCCAACAUGUCACACACUACAGUCAUUUGGUCAGGAGCUGUUUCAACAAGACGCUGCUAUUCCUGCAGGAAAACAGACACUGACUGACUGACAGACGGGCCGGUCUGAUCUCUGACGGAUCUGAUGGAUCUGGAUUUACACGGUUCCUCUUUUUAAACUCCUUCAAGACCUGACAGGACAGGAGUCUGCCUCCCUCUGUAAACUCUAAACCGCUUAAAGAAAUACACUCAGAGACGGUUUCUCGUCCUCUUCUAGGACAGGCAGGAUAAAAUCAUCUCUGACCUUCAUCUGAGAACACCUGAGAGACUCAGCGUCCGUCAGUUCAGCUCAGACUGAAGGAUGAUUUUGGAGCUGAAUCUCAGAUUAAAGGACCUCUCAAUGUUUGAACUUUAAUUCUUCAUUUUAUAGUUUUAUUCUCUUCUGUGUUGGAAAUGAAGCUGCUAAGAUUGUUGAUUUAUUCAAUCCAGAAAAAUUCAG